Molecule: unclassified non-coding RNA, 90 nt
Filed under: Pseudomonas sp. OV546
Lineage: Bacteria; Pseudomonadati; Pseudomonadota; Gammaproteobacteria; Pseudomonadales; Pseudomonadaceae
Source: RNAcentral
UGUGGGAGGGGGCUUGCCCCCGAUAGCGGUGUGUCAGUCACCAGAUUCAUUGGCUGACACACUGCAAUCGGGGGCAAGCCCCCUCCCACA